GAGCGUGCAGGAUCAGAGACUGGCCCUGGAACAGCAGUGGAUCCACCACCACCACCACCACUCCCUCACCCAGGACGAGUACUACAGCCACUUAAAGAAGGAAAGCGACAAGACCCUGUGAGGGAGGAAAAAGAGAGGGG
This is a long non-coding RNA of Coregonus clupeaformis (lake whitefish), 140 nucleotides long. RefSeq lists it as uncharacterized. Lineage: Eukaryota; Metazoa; Chordata; Actinopteri; Salmoniformes; Salmonidae. The record is from RefSeq and is a predicted model, not a curated record. The transcript has 2 exons.